Molecule: ribosomal RNA, 753 nt
Filed under: uncultured bacterium
Lineage: Bacteria
Description: bacterial SSU rRNA
Rfam family: Bacterial small subunit ribosomal RNA
Source: RNAcentral
CAGGACGAACGCUGGCGGCAUGCCUAAUACAUGCAAGUCGAGCGGACUUGAAGAGAAGCUUGCUUCUCUGAUGGUUGGCCGCGGACCGGUGCGUAACACGUAGGCAACCUGCCCUCAAGUUUGGGACAACUACCGGAAACGGUAGCUAAUACCGAAUAAUUGUUUUCUUCGCCUGAAGCGAACUGGAAAGACGGAGCAAUCUGUCACUUGGGGAUCGGCCUGCGGCGCAUUAGCUAGUUGGUGAGGUAACGGCUCACCAAGGCGACGAUGCGUAGCGGACCUGAGAGGGUGAUCGGCCACACUGGGACUGAGACACGGCCCAGACUCCUACGGGAGGCAGCCGUAGGGAAUCUUCCGCAAUGGGCGAAAGCCUGACGGAGCAAUGCCGCGUGAGUGAUGAAGUUUUUCGGAUCGUAAAGCUCUGUUGCCAGGGAAGAACGCUUGGGAGAGUAACUGCUCUCAAGGUGACGGUACCUGAGAAGAAAGCCCCGGCUAACUACGUGCCAGCAGCCGCGGUAAUACGCAGGGGGCAAGCGUUGUCCGGAAUUAUUGGGCGUAAAGCGCGCGCAGGCGGUCAUUUAAGUCUGGUGUUUAAUCCCGGGGCUCAACCCCGGAUCGCACCGGAAACUGGGUGACUUGAGUGCAGAAGAGGAGAGUGGAAUUCCACGUGUAGCGGUGAAAUGCGUACAUAUGUGGAGGAACACCAGUGGCGAAGGCGACUCUCUGGGCUGUAACUGACGCUGAGGCGCGAAA